This 1467-nucleotide ribosomal RNA is filed under the name Streptococcus thermophilus. RNAcentral describes it as "bacterial SSU rRNA". It matches the Rfam family "Bacterial small subunit ribosomal RNA". Lineage: Bacteria; Bacillati; Bacillota; Bacilli; Lactobacillales; Streptococcaceae. The record is from RNAcentral.
ACGAACGCUGGCGGCGUGCCUAAUACAUGCAAGUAGAACGCUGAAGAGAGGAGCUUGCUCUUCUUGGAUGAGUUGCGAACGGGUGAGUAACGCGUAGGUAACCUGCCUUGUAGCGGGGGAUAACUAUUGGAAACGAUAGCUAAUACCGCAUAACAAUGGAUGACACAUGUCAUUUAUUUGAAAGGGGCAAUUGCUCCACUACAAGAUGGACCUGCGUUGUAUUAGCUAGUAGGUGAGGUAAUGGCUCACCUAGGCGACGAUACAUAGCCGACCUGAGAGGGUGAUCGGCCACACUGGGACUGAGACACGGCCCAGACUCCUACGGGAGGCAGCAGUAGGGAAUCUUCGGCAAUGGGGGCAACCCUGACCGAGCAACGCCGCGUGAGUGAAGAAGGUUUUCGGAUCGUAAAGCUCUGUUGUAAGUCAAGAACGGGUGUGAGAGUGGAAAGUUCACACUGUGACGGUAGCUUACCAGAAAGGGACGGCUAACUACGUGCCAGCAGCCGCGGUAAUACGUAGGUCCCGAGCGUUGUCCGGAUUUAUUGGGCGUAAAGCGAGCGCAGGCGGUUUGAUAAGUCUGAAGUUAAAGGCUGUGGCUCAACCAUAGUUCGCUUUGGAAACUGUCAAACUUGAGUGCAGAAGGGGAGAGUGGAAUUCCAUGUGUAGCGGUGAAAUGCGUAGAUAUAUGGAGGAACACCGGUGGCGAAAGCGGCUCUCUGGUCUGUAACUGACGCUGAGGCUCGAAAGCGUGGGGAGCGAACAGGAUUAGAUACCCUGGUAGUCCACGCCGUAAACGAUGAGUGCUAGGUGUUGGAUCCUUUCCGGGAUUCAGUGCCGCAGCUAACGCAUUAAGCACUCCGCCUGGGGAGUACGACCGCAAGGUUGAAACUCAAAGGAAUUGACGGGGGCCCGCACAAGCGGUGGAGCAUGUGGUUUAAUUCGAAGCAACGCGAAGAACCUUACCAGGUCUUGACAUCCCGAUGCUAUUUCUAGAGAUAGAAAGUUACUUCGGUACAUCGGUGACAGGUGGUGCAUGGUUGUCGUCAGCUCGUGUCGUGAGAUGUUGGGUUAAGUCCCGCAACGAGCGCAACCCCUAUUGUUAGUUGCCAUCAUUCAGUUGGGCACUCUAGCGAGACUGCCGGUAAUAAACCGGAGGAAGGUGGGGAUGACGUCAAAUCAUCAUGCCCCUUAUGACCUGGGCUACACACGUGCUACAAUGGUUGGUACAACGAGUUGCGAGUCGGUGACGGCGAGCUAAUCUCUUAAAGCCAAUCUCAGUUCGGAUUGUAGGCUGCAACUCGCCUACAUGAAGUCGGAAUCGCUAGUAAUCGCGGAUCAGCACGCCGCGGUGAAUACGUUCCCGGGCCUUGUACACACCGCCCGUCACACCACGAGAGUUUGUAACACCCGAAGUCGGUGAGGUAACCUUUUGGAGCCAGCCGCCUAAGGUGGGACAGAUGAUUGGGG